UCCUGAGAUAUUAAAAUCAAACAUGNUCUCUUUCUCUUUCCUUCGGUGAGUCUUUCUUUCUUUCUUUCUAUCUUUCUUUCUCUAUCUUUCUUUCUUUCUUUCUUUCUUUCUUUCUUUCGUUCUCUAUCUUUCUUUCUUUAUCUCUUUCUUUCCUUUCCUUUCCUUUCCUUUCCUUUCCUUUCCUUUCCUUUCCUUUCCUUUCCUUUCCUUUCCUUUCCUUUCCUUUCCUUUCCUUUCCUUUCCUUUCCUUUCCUUUCCUUUCCUUUCCUUUCCUUUCCUUUCCUUUCCUUUCCUUUCCUUUCCUUUCCUUUCCUUUCCUUUCCUUUCCUUUCUCUGUCUCUCUCUUUCUUUCUUUCGUUCGAUUUCUUCAUUUCUUCUGCUUUUCUCUUUCUCUUUCUUUCUUUCUUUCUUUCUUUUCCUUCCUUCCUUCAUUCCUUUCUUUUUCUUCCUUUCCUUUCCUUUCCUU
This 466-nucleotide long non-coding RNA is filed under the name Monodelphis domestica (gray short-tailed opossum). RNAcentral's name for it is "lncRNA (ENSMODG00000049202.1)". Lineage: Eukaryota; Metazoa; Chordata; Mammalia; Didelphimorphia; Didelphidae. The record is from RNAcentral.